GACGAACGCUGGCGGCGUGCUUAACACAUGCAAGUCGAGCGGUAAGGCCCUUUCGGGGGUACGACGAGCGGCGAACGGGUGAGUAACACGUGGGUGACCUGCCCUCCAGCUCUGGGAGUAAGCCUGGGAAACCGGGGUCGUAAUACCGGAUAUGACUCCAUGACGCAUGUUGUGGGGUGGAAAGCCUUGUGCGGCUGAGGAUGGGCCCGCGGCCUAUCAGCUUGUUGGUGGGGUGAUGGCCUACCAAGGCGACGACGGGUAGCCGGCCUGAGAGGGCGACCGG
Molecule: ribosomal RNA, 283 nt
Filed under: uncultured bacterium
Lineage: Bacteria
Description: partial 16S ribosomal RNA
Rfam family: Bacterial small subunit ribosomal RNA
Source: RNAcentral